This 748-nucleotide ribosomal RNA is filed under the name uncultured bacterium. Its description in RNAcentral is "bacterial SSU rRNA". It matches the Rfam family "Bacterial small subunit ribosomal RNA", at positions 28 to 776 of the family's 1533-position model. The record is from RNAcentral.
GAUGAACGCUGGCGGCGUGCCUAACACAUGCAAGUCGAGCGAAGCACUUUGCUUAGAUUCUUCGGAUGAAGAGGAUUGUGACUGAGCGGCGGACGGGUGAGUAACGCGUGGGUAACCUGCCUCAUACAGGGGGAUAACAGUUAGAAAUGACUGCUAAUACCGCAUAAGACCACAGCACCGCAUGGUGCAGGGGUAAAAACUCCGGUGGUAUGAGAUGGACCCGCGUCUGAUUAGCUAGUUGGUAAGGUAACGGCUUACCAAGGCGACGAUCAGUAGCCGACCUGAGAGGGUGACCGGCCACAUUGGGACUGAGACACGGCCCAAACUCCUACGGGAGGCAGCAGUGGGGAAUAUUGCACAAUGGGGGAAACCCUGAUGCAGCGACGCCGCGUGAGUGAAGAAGUAUUUCGGUAUGUAAAGCUCUAUCAGCAGGGAAGAAAAUGACGGUACCUGACUAAGAAGCACCGGCUAAAUACGUGCCAGCAGCCGCGGUAAUACGUAUGGUGCAAGCGUUAUCCGGAUUUACUGGGUGUAAAGGGAGCGUAGACGGAUGGGCAAGUCUGAUGUGAAAACCCGGGGCUCAACCCCGGGACUGCAUUGGAAACUGUUCAUCUAGAGUGCUGGAGAGGUAAGUGGAAUUCCUAGUGUAGCGGUGAAAUGCGUAGAUAUUAGGAGGAACACCAGUGGCGAAGGCGGCUUACUGGACAGUAACUGACGUUGAGGCUCGAAAGCGUGGGGAGCAAACAGG